Molecule: ribosomal RNA, 402 nt
Filed under: uncultured Salinimicrobium sp.
Lineage: Bacteria; Pseudomonadati; Bacteroidota; Flavobacteriia; Flavobacteriales; Flavobacteriaceae
Description: bacterial SSU rRNA
Rfam family: Bacterial small subunit ribosomal RNA
Source: RNAcentral
CCUACGGGUGGCAGCAGUGGGGAAUAUUGCACAAUGGACGGAAGUCUGAUGCAGCAACGCCGCGUGCGGGAUGACGGCCUUCGGGUUGUAAACCGCUUUCAAUUGUGACGAAGCUUUUUGUGACGGUAGCAGUAGAAGAAGCACCGGCUAACUACGUGCCAGCAGCCGCGGUGAUACGUAGGGUGCGAGCGUUGUCCGGAUUUAUUGGGCGUAAAGAGCUUGUAGGUGGUUUGUCGCGUCGGGAGUGAAAACUCAGGGCUUAACUCUGAGCUUGCUUUCGAUACGGGCUGACUUGAGGGAGGUAGGGGAGAAUGGAAUUCCUGGUGGAGCGGUGGAAUGCGCAGAUAUCAGGAGGAACACCGGUGGCGAAGGCGGUUCUCUGGACCUUUCCUGACGCUGAGA